RNAcentral lists this ribosomal RNA (487 nucleotides) under Veillonella parvula. RNAcentral describes it as "bacterial SSU rRNA". It matches the Rfam family "Bacterial small subunit ribosomal RNA", at positions 28 to 482 of the family's 1533-position model. The record is from RNAcentral. Lineage: Bacteria; Bacillati; Bacillota; Negativicutes; Veillonellales; Veillonellaceae.
GACGAACGCUGGCGGCGUGCUUAACACAUGCAAGUCGAACGAAGAGCGAUGGAAGCUUGCUUCUAUCAAUCUUAGUGGCGAACGGGUGAGUAACGCGUAAUCAACCUGCCCUUCAGAGGGGGACAACAGUUGGAAACGACUGCUAAUACCGCAUACGAUCUAAUCUCGGCAUCGAGGAUAGAUGAAAGGUGGCCUCUACAUGUAAGCUAUCACUGAAGGAGGGGAUUGCGUCUGAUUAGCUAGUUGGAGGGGUAACGGCCCACCAAGGCGAUGAUCAGUAGCCGGUCUGAGAGGAUGAACGGCCACAUUGGGACUGAGACACGGCCCAGACUCCUACGGGAGGCAGCAGUGGGGAAUCUUCCGCAAUGGACGAAAGUCUGACGGAGCAACGCCGCGUGAGUGAUGACGGCCUUCGGGUUGUAAAGCUCUGUUAAUCGGGACGAAAGGCCUUCUUGCGAAUAAGUGAGAAAGGAAUGACGGAACCGGA